This 253-nucleotide ribosomal RNA is filed under the name uncultured bacterium. Its description in RNAcentral is "partial 16S ribosomal RNA". It matches the Rfam family "Bacterial small subunit ribosomal RNA", at positions 524 to 776 of the family's 1533-position model. The record is from RNAcentral.
UACGUAGGGUGCGAGCGUUGUCCGGAAUUAUUGGGCGUAAAGAGCUCGUAGGCGGUUUGUCGCGUCUGCUGUGAAAACUCGGGGCUUAACUCCGGGCCUGCAGUGGGUACGGGCAGACUAGAGUGCGGUAGGGGAGACUGGAAUUCCUGGUGUAGCGGUGAAAUGCGCAGAUAUCGGAAAGAACACCAACGGCGAAAGCACUCUGCUGGGCCGACACUGACACUGAGAGACGAAAGCUAGGGGAGCGAAUGGG